Molecule: ribosomal RNA, 468 nt
Filed under: uncultured bacterium
Lineage: Bacteria
Description: partial 16S ribosomal RNA
Rfam family: Bacterial small subunit ribosomal RNA
Source: RNAcentral
GACGAACGCUGGCGGCGUGCUUAACACAUGCAAGUCGAACGGAAAGGCCCUGCUUUUGUGGGGUGCUCGAGUGGCGAACGGGUGAGUAACACGUGAGUAACCUGCCCUUGACUUUGGGAUAACUUCAGGAAACUGGGGCUAAUACCGGAUAGGAGCUCCUGCUGCGUGGUGGGGGUUGGAAAGUUUCGGCGGUUGGGGAUGGACUCGCGGGUUAUCAGCUUGUUGGUGGGGUAGUGGCUUACCAAGGCUUUGACGGGUAGCCGGCCUGAGAGGGUGACCGGCCACAUUGGGACUGAGAUACGGCCCAGACUCCUACGGGAGGCAGCAGUGGGGAAUAUUGCACAAUGGGCGGAAGCCUGUUGCAGCAACGCCGCGUGCGGGAUGACGGCCUUCGGGUUGUAAACCGCUUUCGCCUGUGACGAAGCGUGAGUGACGGUAAUGGGUAAAGAAGCACCGGCUAACUACGUG